This 422-nucleotide ribosomal RNA is filed under the name uncultured bacterium. RNAcentral describes it as "bacterial SSU rRNA". It matches the Rfam family "Bacterial small subunit ribosomal RNA", at positions 355 to 776 of the family's 1533-position model. The record is from RNAcentral.
UGAGGAAUAUUGCUCAAUGGCCGCAAGGCUGAAGCAGCAACGCCGCGUGAGGGAUGAAGGUUCUAUGAAUCGUAAACCUCUGUAGAAAAGGAGAAAUAUUCGCCUCGGGCGAAUUGAUAGUACUUUUAAAGUAAGCCCCGGCUAACUACGUGCCAGCAGCCGCGGUAAUACGUAGGGGGCAAGCGUUGUCCGGAAUCACUGGGUGUAAAGGGAGCUCAGGCGGGUUUAUAAGUCAGAGGUGAAAUCCUGCAGCUUAACUGCAGAACUGCCUUUGAUACUGUAGAUCUAGAAUUCAGGAGAGGGUGAUGGAAUUCAUGGUGUAGCGGUGAAAUGCGUAGAUAUCAUGAAGAACACCAGUUGCGAAGGCGGUCACCUGGCCUGAUUAUUGACGCUCAAGCUCGAAAGCGUGGGGAGCGAACAGG